Molecule: ribosomal RNA, 406 nt
Filed under: uncultured bacterium
Lineage: Bacteria
Description: partial 16S ribosomal RNA
Rfam family: Bacterial small subunit ribosomal RNA
Source: RNAcentral
AUUGCACGCUGGCGGCAGGCCUAACACAUGCGAGUCGAACGAGUAGCGAACGGGUGAGUAAUGUCUGGGAAACUGCCUGAUGGAGGGGGAUAAAUACUGGAAACGGUAGCUAAUACCGCAUACCAUCGGAUGUUCCCAGAUGGGAUUAGCUAGUAGGUGGGGUAAAGGCUCACCUAGGCGACGAUCCCUAGCUGGUCUGAGAGGAUGACCAGCCAAACUGGAACUGAUACACGGUCCAGACGCCUACGGUAGGCUGCAGUGGGGAAUAUUGCACAAUUGGCGCAAGCCUGAUGCAGCCAGGCCGCGUGUAUGAAGAAGGCCGUCGGGUUGUAAAGUACUUUCCUCGGGGAGGCGUUACCCGCAGAAGAAGCACCGGCUAACUCCGUGCCAGCAGCCGCGGUAAUAC